GGAGUAGGCCCCUGGCUCCUGCUCUGACAGCACACCCGAGAGUCACUUCCGGGGCCACAUUCCCAGUGGUGAUGGAGUACAGUUUCAAAGCGUGAUAAAAACAGCUCUUCCCUUUGCUGCUUCUCCUCCGAGAAAGUGAAACUGUAUCUUCCUAGAACUGAUCACAGUUCAAAGUCAGCUCAUUCCAUUUUCAGCCUGACUCGCUCCACUUUCCUGUGAUCAUUCUUUUCAGCUUUACCAACUCCUUCAUACACAAGAAAGCGUCCGAGGGACAUGGAUGCAGGCGUGCAGACAGCACCGGAUGGACUCAGCAGGCUGUGUUUACGUCUUCAUUUAUUUGUAUUUACAUGAAAAACAAUGAAGAAAGAGGAAAGGCCAUGAAUUUGGGGGAGGGGAUUGGAUGUAGAAGGGAUAGGAGGGAGGGAAAGGAGAGGAUAAAUGAUAUUUUAAAUAAUAAUAAAAAGAAAAGUUCUCUUCUUCUUAACUUGCGAGAUAA
Non-coding RNA from Peromyscus maniculatus bairdii (prairie deer mouse), 496 nucleotides. The record is from RefSeq and is a predicted model, not a curated record. NCBI's taxonomy places the organism in Eukaryota, Metazoa, Chordata, Mammalia, Rodentia, Cricetidae.